This is a long non-coding RNA of Hibiscus syriacus, 772 nucleotides long. RefSeq lists it as uncharacterized. The transcript has 3 exons. The record is from RefSeq and is a predicted model, not a curated record. NCBI's taxonomy places the organism in Eukaryota, Viridiplantae, Streptophyta, Magnoliopsida, Malvales, Malvaceae.
ACAUCUUUAGAAUAUAAAGAAACGAGGCCAGAAGGUGCAUUUAAAAGAAGCCGGGUUGGACUGGAGAACUCAUACCUUUCUCGGCCUUUUGGCUAAGAUCAAGUGUAGUAUCUGUUCUUAUCAGUUUAAUAUCUGAUACGUGGGUCAAUGGCCCACACGAUAUUAAAUUUAUUUUUUGAGGGGGAGGGCUCACUACAGUAGCUUGCUACUGGUGCCCUCGAGCGUUGCCCAAGUGUUGCACUAUUGCUUAGGCCUGGCGCACCCCACCCAAUUCCAGUUCUAAUGAUUUUUAAGGUUUAAUUGCAGGCCCUAUGACAAGAAGUAUGGCACCAUUCAAAAAUAAAUUGAAGCUUUGGACGAGAUGGGCAUGCAUAUAUAAUAAUAGAAACGAUGCAAAGGAACAACUCAACAAGACUAAAGAUCAAAUUUCUUCGACACGAGCUAACUAAUCAAUGCAAAACAAUAAGAGACAGUAGUGUGAGAUGUGCAUCUGCAUCGACAAAGUGGAUGCUUUAAGAUGUGACGAAUAAAUAAAUAAAAUGUUCUCUCUGAUGUGAGAACUUCUGGUAAUCCCAACUCAUUUUAUUUAAUCUGUAACUUCUGGGAAUCUUGACGGGACCAAAUAAUCCAAAAACAACUGAAACGUGAUUGUAAUGAUAUUAACAAAAACAUCAGAACUUACAAUCAGCUAACUUCAAGAUUUGUCGAUAUCACAGUGAAACCAAAACAAGCUCAACACAACUUAUUGAUAAAGUUAUCAAAUCCACUGCAA